GGCUGGUUAACUCAGUUGGUUAGAGUGUGGUGCUGGUAACACCAAGGUCAGGGGUUCGAAACCUGUACCAGCCA
This is a non-coding RNA of Cynocephalus volans (Philippine flying lemur), 74 nucleotides long. NCBI's taxonomy places the organism in Eukaryota, Metazoa, Chordata, Mammalia, Dermoptera, Cynocephalidae. The record is from the annotation of a RefSeq genome assembly.